This 671-nucleotide ribosomal RNA is filed under the name Salmonella enterica. Its description in RNAcentral is "bacterial SSU rRNA". It matches the Rfam family "Bacterial small subunit ribosomal RNA", at positions 872 to 1533 of the family's 1533-position model. The record is from RNAcentral. Lineage: Bacteria; Pseudomonadati; Pseudomonadota; Gammaproteobacteria; Enterobacterales; Enterobacteriaceae.
CCUGGGGAGUACGGCCGCAAGGUUAAAACUCAAAUGAAUUGACGGGGGCCCGCACAAGCGGUGGAGCAUGUGGUUUAAUUCGAUGCAACGCGAAGAACCUUACCUGGUCUUGACAUCCACGGAAGUUUUCAGAGAUGAGAAUGUGCCUUCGGGAACCGUGAGACAGGUGCUGCAUGGCUGUCGUCAGCUCGUGUUGUGAAAUGUUGGGUUAAGUCCCGCAACGAGCGCAACCCUUAUCCUUUGUUGCCAGCGAUUAGGUCGGGAACUCAAAGGAGACUGCCAGUGAUAAACUGGAGGAAGGUGGGGAUGACGUCAAGUCAUCAUGGCCCUUACGACCAGGGCUACACACGUGCUACAAUGGCGCAUACAAAGAGAAGCGACCUCGCGAGAGCAAGCGGACCUCAUAAAGUGCGUCGUAGUCCGGAUUGGAGUCUGCAACUCGACUCCAUGAAGUCGGAAUCGCUAGUAAUCGUGGAUCAGAAUGCCACGGUGAAUACGUUCCCGGGCCUUGUACACACCGCCCGUCACACCAUGGGAGUGGGUUGCAAAAGAAGUAGGUAGCUUAACCUUCGGGAGGGCGCUUACCACUUUGUGAUUCAUGACUGGGGUGAAGUCGUAACAAGGUAACCGUAGGGGAACCUGCGGUUGGAUCACCUCCUUACCUGAAAGAA